This 1653-nucleotide unclassified non-coding RNA is filed under the name Drosophila ananassae. RNAcentral describes it as "GF26717". Lineage: Eukaryota; Metazoa; Arthropoda; Insecta; Diptera; Drosophilidae. The record is from RNAcentral.
UUUUAACAUUAAUUGAUUGUUUUACACUUUAGAAUAAAAUAUUUUUUGGCGGCAGGUCCUCUCCCACCAGGUCCAAGAAUUGUAAUGAUGAUGAAGAUGGGGAGAGAGACCCCCAGAAUAUUACCCCGAAGGCAACUUUUACUCUGGGGGACUCUCCCAUUCGAAAUCCGAAAGUGGCGGGAUCCUGGUGAGAGAAACUUUCUCUUUUAAUUCGUCUUUGGAGCACUCUGCUGGCCGAUUUGUCCCAUGGUCGUCUUGGCGGGUGAGUUGGUAUUUUUUCCCAUCAGGUGGCAACUCCUUGUGUCAGGUUGGAGGCGGGUGGCAGCACUCGUUGGGAAAAAAGGACGUCGACUUGAGGACAACAUUGGAGGGCAGUGGAUUUGGCGUGAGACCUGUAUGAAGCAUCGUCGUGUGGGUGGACAUUGUGUGGCGUCUUCGUGUACAGGUGCAGGUGAGUCCAGAGGAUGUCGUCAGGAUGGGUAAAAUAUAUCACAGGAAUAAGAAGAAGACAUGUAAACAAAGAUUUCUGGACAGGAUUUAGGAGCAUAUCACAUAGAUUGAACAGAUCCCAGGUGUUGAUGGCGAUGGAUGGCCUUUUCGCAUGUAUCCUUACAUGGUCUGCGCGUUCGAUAGGAAGUUCGUCGAGUGGUGGGUACGAAGUGCAGAGAGUUAUAUUUUCGAGUGGGAGCAGACCGCGUCAUCUUUAUCUUCGCAGGGCAGGCAGUGGAUCGUGUGAGUAAGGAUUUACGUAUUUUCCGUGUCCAUCUGUGAGUCAGGAAGAACGUCGUCAGGUACUUGUAGGAGAGAGCCCAGAGAUCGUGCCAGAGAUGUCCGUAUGCAUGGUGUAGGAGCGUGGGCUUUCCUAUUGGCAUCUUUUGCUGGGAACGCGGUUCGUCCUUGUGUCGUGGAGGAGGCGGUUUGCAGCAUUCAUUAUGGAAAGGGUAAACAUGCAGGAAUUUAUCUAAUUUGGUCUAGUCAGGUACGGAUACAUGUGAGUCCAGUGGAUGUCGUCAGGUUGGGUAAAAAUUUAUCCCAGGUGAGUAUCACAGAUAAUUAGAUCAGUCGUUUUUAGAUUCAAUUGCAUGUAGUGUAUGUAUAAAGGAAGAUAUGUAAACAAAGAAGAUUUCUAGACGGGAUUUUAGACGUAUUAAAAAAAACAGCAUUGAGCAGGUCCACAGUGACGGUGGCAGGGGAAGGCGUUUGACGGCUGGGUGUUGUUCCAUGGUCCUGAGUUUAUUUGUCCUUUCUCCUUACGGGUUCUGCACGUUCGUAGAGGGGUUCGUCAGGCUAGCAACGUGUUCAUGUAGAGUCAACAGGUUUUUUUUCCGAUAUAAGUGAGCGUCAUCAAGGAAAAAUUUUUUUGUCUGAGUGUCUGGGAUGGACUAAAUUUGGAUCAGGUCGCCGGCCAUUAGCAUGUCCAUUAGGGAUACACUACUGCCAAGAGAAGAGGCACCCAUUUCCUUGUCAACCGAUUCUUCUAGAGGUUACCCAGCUUCUCCCACAGCUUCGCUUGGAAACUUGUAUCCUGUUUUAGACGUUCAUCUACUUGCUGUUGCUGCAACUUUAUGUUUUCGGAGAUAUUAGUAAUAUUCUGCAUGACUUUGUGCAAAUUGUUAUCAGAAUAAGAGGCCAUUGUGGGCCGUUGUUGACCAA